RNAcentral lists this ribosomal RNA (381 nucleotides) under uncultured bacterium. Its description in RNAcentral is "bacterial SSU rRNA". It matches the Rfam family "Bacterial small subunit ribosomal RNA", at positions 524 to 903 of the family's 1533-position model. The record is from RNAcentral.
UACGAAGGGGGCUAGCGUUGCUCGGAAUGACUGGGCGUAAAGGGCGCGUAGGCGGCUUAUACAGUCAGGCGUGAAAUUCCUGGGCUCAACCUGGGGACUGCGUCUGAUACGUAUGGGCUUGAGUGUGAAAGAGGGUCGUGGAAUUUCCAGUGUAGAGGUGAAAUUCGUAGAUAUUGGAAAGAACACCGGUGGCGAAGGCGGCGACCUGGUUCAUUACUGACGCUGAGGCGCGAAAGCGUGGGGAGCAAACAGGGAUUAGAUACCCUGGUAGUCCACGCUGUGAACGAUGUGUGCUGGAUGUUGGGGUGCUUAGCACUUCAGUGUCGUAGCUAACGCGGUAAGCACACCGCCUGGGGAGUACGGCCGCAAGGUUGAAACUCA